This 95-nucleotide non-coding RNA is filed under the name pig gut metagenome. Its description in RNAcentral is "TPP riboswitch (THI element)". It matches the Rfam family "TPP riboswitch aptamer (THI element)", at positions 9 to 90 of the family's 105-position model. Rfam says of the family: Vitamin B(1) in its active form thiamin pyrophosphate (TPP) is an essential coenzyme that is synthesised by coupling of pyrimidine and thiazole moieties in bacteria. The record is from RNAcentral.
CGCAGGGGAGCUGGUGUAAGCCGGCUGAGAUUGAGCGUGAUCGCUCUAAACCCAUGAACCUGAUCCGGGUAAUGCCGGCGUAGGAAGCAAUAGAG